CUCUCGUCUUGCGUCUGGCCCUGCUGCACAGUGGCUCUCUCCUCUCUGGUUCUCUCUGCACAGUGAUCGAAAAAAAGCAAGAGAGAGAGAGAGAGAGAAAGAAAGAGGAACUGUUCUACCACGAGGUGUGAGGUUGAAAGUGAAGAGCGCUACAUUUCACGCUUUGUAAUGGAGAACUGAGACCUACUGCCUGUAUUUUCAUGGAUAAUCUCUCCCAUUCUCGCCUCCCCAACAGGGGUUCUACCUCCGUUUCUAAGAAAAUUUGCAAUGGCAGUAAUGGCGGUGGACCUUUUGUAGCUCAGACUAUCUACGACGACGUUUAUGGCGGUCCUCCCAAGUUUGGUGUCUCUGCUUUGUCUCCUCGCUUCGAAGACUAUGGUGAGAUUUUUGGGAGCUUCCAUGCCCUCCGUACUUCCUCCAUUCCGAUUCUUGAUCUUCCGGCUGUCGAUGAAUCUGAGGUUUUCUUCGACGCUCGGAGCUCGGCAUUUGACUAUGCGGAGGUUUUUGGAGGGUUCGAUGGUUUGAAUUUUGCGAUUUCUUAUGAGGAACUGGUUGGCCCUUCCCAAGGCGUUGAUGAUGGCUCUUCCGACGAAGCUUGGACUCCAGCAGGAACUGAUUCUUUGUCAGACUGUUCAGAUCAUUCUGGAAAUUCUCAUUGUAUGUCAAAUGAAGACUCUAAUCAGUCAUUUGGUGAAAGCACUGAAUUUUCCAUAUCGUAUAACAAGGUUAACCGAGAAGGCAAUGGAAAUGUAUCAGAUGGGAAGAUACACGUAACCCAGUUGGAGAUGCUUCCUGGAUUCUCAUAUCUGGUUGAUGAAGCACAUCCCUCACCAAAGGGAACAUAUGACGAUCUAUCCCUGAAGACCAAUGACGAUAGCUAUCUCAAUAUAGAUUUUGAUACAGGAAAGGUUAAGGGCAAACAUCCAAAGAACACUAUGCCACCCCCAGUGGACAGUAAUGGCUCUGGACACGUAUUCGAGGAUAGCCUUAUUUGUCAAAAUGAAUUUGGUAGAGAGGUUUUUCAUUCUCAUGAAGAUUUCAUAACCGUAUCUGAAAUAAGCCUUAGAACUGAACCUUCUCAAGUUCCACCACCUACUCGGCCGCCUCCCAAGUAUGCUGCCAAAAUGGGGGACUACACUAAAAUGGCUUUAAAUUGUGGGGAUGCUUCUGAAAUAAUUUCGGAUGAUCAUUUUAAUCCUUUAUUUGAUGUGGAGGUCGACGCUAGUUCAUCUGCAGCAGCCUCUGCUGCAGCUAUGAAAGAAGCAAUGGAAAAAGCUCAAGCACGUUUGCAAAGUGCAAAAGAUUUGUGGGAGAGGAAGAAAGAAGGAGUCCAUGGACGGAUGAGACUGGAUGCAAAAUAUGAUAUGAGAGAAAAGGAAGGAAAUUUGACCAAGAUUCCUAAUCGAUUUAAGAGUUUGACGGAUGAAAGGGUGCAGGAUAUUGGUGAAAUUCAUGACCAUAAAAUGAAUUUGCCUGCUGGAGAGAAGAGGAAAAAGGAUGUGAAGGCAACUAAGGUUUGUUCAACACCAUUUGGAGGAGAGGAACUAUUAACAGUCGAUGAAAAGACCGUACCAAUUAGAAAUGGGAGUAGAUUUCUUGUGUCUGAUAAUCAUGAUUGCUGCAGUGAAUGGAAAGACGCCACAGAGUUUUUUGAAUUGGCAAGAGCAGAUAUAUCUGGAAAGGAAUUUGAGUUGUUGGACAAUGAUGAGAUUUCCAACUUUGUGACUGAACCAAUAGUAGCAGAGACCAUCAUUGAAGCAUGGGAGAACGAUAAGGAUCAAGACAAGGAUGGGAAACCAUUCCAUACGGCUCAUGCUCUGAAUGAAAACGUGAAAGAUUUGGAGAAUAUGGUCCAUGGGAAGGUGGAAAAACUAAAACCAAAUAAAGACGAGACUAGGCAAAAAGAGCAGGUGAAACUUCAUCAAGGUGUUUGUGAUCUUGAAGCAAAUGAUAGGAUAUUUGGAGUUGCACAAGACUUUAUGGAAGAAAAAAAGCGUAUGUUCAAUGCUAGUGAAAAAGAACAUGAAAACCGUAUUGAGUUUAAACAACUGGACAGUGAGCUAAAAGUUGAUCAACCUGUUUCACCAAUUGAUAUCGAACAAGAAAAGAAGAAGGUUGUUAAAGGAAAGGAAAAUGGAAAUAUUCUCAAGGAAUCUCAUAGAAAAGAAAACAAUGCAAAUAAAAUGGAAGAAGCCCUUGAGAACGAGAAAAGAGAAAAGCUGUUCUCGGAGGCUUCUGAAAGGGAAAAGCUUGAGCAAAAAAAGAUGAUGUUCCUCGAGCAAGAAGAAAAUAAGAAAAGACUCAAUUUGGUUCUUGCGGAUGAGAACUUUAGGGGACAGAUGGCUCGUGAAAGAGAACUGGAUGGUGUCCAUGGGAAGGAAGAUCAUGGGAAAAGGGGAAAAGAGGCUGCCAAAGUUGUAAGUGAGAGAUCAAAAUUAGCUCAUGAGAGAGAAGAUGACGACAAAUGGUCAAAAAAUAUUCAGUAUCGAGAAGAAUGUGAAAUAGGAGUUAAGGAUUCAUUUCAUGAACGCAGGCCAGGUGAUGUGGGUAAGUGUAAAGUGCCUCAGAUGUUGGUUGAAGAUUCACAAUAUAGUGCAGAUCUCAAGGGUGCGAGUAUGGAGCAUGAUGAAUUAGAGAAAUUGAGUGACAGACACGAAGUAAACUCAACAAUAGGAUCUCAAGCAUAUGUGGAAGUGAAGGAUUUGGGGAUAUCUGCUGCGGCAUUUCAAAUGCAUGAUGACCAAAACCACUUACCCACGGUACUAGCUUGUUCAAUGGGGGUGCCUGAAGAAUUCUCUGUUGUAGAUGAAAGUGGAGAGAGGACUACCGUCACAGGUAAUAAAACUUCAUCAGAAAGUGAUGGAAUUGAUAAUCUGCAAUUUUCCAAAAAUUCUUCUGCAUUGGGUGCGAGGCAGGCAGAGAUAGAACAUCAUAAAGUUUCAGUGGAAAUGGAAGAUGCUGAUAUUCAACUUUCUUUCAAUGAAUGGACCAAAAAAGUAGGCAAAGAAACAAGCUUUCAACCCAAACCUGGUGAUACACAAGCAGAAGCAACUAAUUCGGAAGAUGCAUUUUCAUCUGAAAACUCAACAUGUGUGGAUGAGCGAGAGAAUGAAAUUGAAGAGAACGCACUUAAGAUGGAUGAUAUGAAAACAUCACCUCCUCUGGAUAGAAGUGGUGAGAGAGCAGGUCAAUCUAACGUUGGCAUGGAAGAGUUUGUAGGGAGAAAGACAUUUGUCACCAGAAUGGAUUGUGAUCCUGAACAACCAGAAAGUAACUUGUUUUGUCGUAUGGAAGAUAAAGUGAAGUUCUCUAACCAGGCUGAAGAUGAGGGACAAACAGUUUCUGUUCAGGGGGUGAAUAUAAAGGCUGAGAAAGGAAGUGGAAUGGAGUCAACUCGGCCAACUAUUUCAGGAAGGAUACAAAAGAGCGGGGAAUUUGCCUAUGAGGUCGAUGCAAAUCAGGCCACAGAAAGAAAGGAAAAGCUUGUGAACCAGAGCCAUAAAUCUAAAGGAAAAGAGAGUGAGAGAGUGAGGAGCGAAUCAGAAUUCGAGAAUGAUAGGCUUCGAAAAUUGGAAGAAGAGAGGGAAAGGGAAAGAGAGAGAGAAAAGGAUAGAAUGCAUAUUGAUAGAAUUGCUCUUGAACCACGUGAUAGAGUAGGUGCUGAAACUCGUGAAAGGGCAGAAAGGACUGCUCUGGAGAGGAUGACUGCUGAAGCUCGACAAAGAGCAUUGACAGAGGCACGUGAAAGAUUGGAAAAGGCUUGUGCAGAGGCGAGGGAAAAUUCAUUGGCUGGAAAGGCAACUAUGGAGGCAAGGGUAAAGGCAGAGCGUGCAGCCGUAGAAAGAGCAACUGCAGAGGCCAGGGAGAGAGCUGCAGAGAAAGCCAUGUCUGACAGGACUUCCUUUGGGGUGAGAGAGAGAAUGGAAAGAUCUGUUUCUGACAAAUUCUCUGCGUCUUCGAGAAAUAAUGAAAUGAGACAGAAGUCUUCAUCCUCUGGUCAGCCCAGCCUACAAUCUCAGAGCUUUGGCUCUUCCCUUGCUUCAAGAUAUGCCUACCACUCGGCUUAUGAUGAGAGGAAUGAGGGUGUUGAUGGUGAAUCGCCUCAAAGAUGUAAAGCCAGAUUAGAGAGGCAUCAAAGAACAGCAGAACGUGCAGCAAAGGCUCUGGCAGAAAAAAAUAUGCGUGAUCUUCUUGCACAAAGAGAGCAAGCUGAGAGAAAUAGAUUGGCUGAGACAUUGGAUGCUGACGUUAGGAGAUGGUCAAGUGGGAAGGAAGGAAACUUGCGUGCCUUGCUUUCUACACUUCAAUAUAUCCUUGGACCUGGUAGUGGUUGGCAGCCCAUUCCCUUAACGGAAGUUAUUACUGCAGCUGCUGUAAAGAAAGCGUACAGGAAAGCCACUCUGUGUGUUCAUCCAGACAAAUUACAACAACGGGGUGCAAGUAUUCAGCAAAAGUAUAUAUGUGAGAAGGUCUUUGAUCUACUAAAGGAAGCUUGGAACAAAUUCAACUCGGAAGAGCGGUAGCCUAAGCUCAUUGUCUAUGAAGAGAAAUUUAUAAAUCUACCACUUUUUGGCUACUACCUGUAUUACUUAGUAGUGCUGGUACGAGUAUCUCAUGGAGGAUCCCACCAUUAGCCUGAUGGAAGGGCGGCUGAAGAGGACAACCAGUGUACCAACCAUAGUACUCGGUUCAGGGUCGAGAAAUCUGACGUCUGCCGUGCCUGCUCAAGCAAAACUGAAGCAGUCGAAGAAAGCUAGCAAAGGACAUGCUCUUUUUAAUUUCUUUGAUUUUGGUCGGAAGAGGAAGUCAACUGCCAAGCCUGAAUUUGCAAGGUAUCUGGAAUAUGUGAAGGAGGGAGGCCUGUGGGAUUUGAAAGCAAAUGCUCCUGUAAUCUACUAUAAAUGAUUCAAUUCAUA
This is a non-coding RNA of Cucurbita pepo subsp. pepo (vegetable marrow), 4916 nucleotides long. The record is from RefSeq and is a predicted model, not a curated record. NCBI's taxonomy places the organism in Eukaryota, Viridiplantae, Streptophyta, Magnoliopsida, Cucurbitales, Cucurbitaceae.